Molecule: ribosomal RNA, 916 nt
Filed under: uncultured bacterium
Lineage: Bacteria
Description: bacterial SSU rRNA
Rfam family: Bacterial small subunit ribosomal RNA
Source: RNAcentral
UUUGAUCCUGGCUCAGGACGAACGCUGGCGGCGCGCUUAACACAUGCAAGUCGAGCGACGAAAGGUCCUUCGGGACCCUGAAAGCGGCGAACGGGUGAGUAACACGUGGGUAACCCACCCUCGGUUUCGGGAUAGCCCGGGGAAACCCGGAUUAAUACCGAAUGGWCUCCCAGGCUCUCGGGCCUGGGAGAAAAGGUAGCUUCGGCCUCCGACCGAGGACGGGCCCGCGGCCGAUUAGCUUGUUGGCGGGGUAACAGCCCACCAAGGCGACGAUCGGUAGCUGGUCUGAGAGGACGAUCAGCCACACUGGGACUGAGACACGGCCCAGACUCCUACGGGAGGCAGCAGUGGGGAAUCUUGCGCAAUGGGCGAAAGCCUGACGCAGCGACGCCGCGUGCGGGAAGAAGGCCUUCGGGUUGUAAACCGCUUUCAGGAGGGACGAAGCCACUCGGGUUAAUAGCCCAGAGGGUGACGGUACCUUCAGAAGAAGCCCCGGCUAACUACGUGCCAGCAGCCGCGGUAAUACGUAGGGGGCUAGCGUUGUCCGGAUUUAUUGGGCGUAAAGAGCGUGUAGGCGGCCAGGUAGGUCUGGUGUGAAAACUGGAGGCUCAACCUCCAGCUGUCACUGGAAACCAUCUGGCUAGAGUCCGGAAGAGGAGAGUGGAAUUCCUGGUGUAGCGGUGAAAUGCGCAGAUAUCAGGAAGAACACCUAUGGCGAAGGCAGCUCUCUGGGACGGUACUGACGCUGAGACGCGAAAGCGUGGGGAGCGAACAGGAUUAGAUACCCUGGUAGUCCACGCCGUAAACGAUGGGUGCUAGUGUGGGCGGUGUCGACUCCGUCCGUGCCGAAGCUAACGCAUUAAGCACCCCGCCUGGGGAGUACGGCCGCAAGCUAAAACUCAAAGGAAUUGACGGG